GACGAACCGAGCAACCGUUAUUCGGAAUCACUGGGCUUAAAGGGCGCGUAGGCGGGCCAUCAAGUCUGUGGUGAAAUCCUCCAGCUUAACUGGAGAACGGCCGCGGAUACUGGUGGUCUCGAGGAAGGUAGGGGCAUCUGGAACUGGUGGUGGAGCGGUGAAAUGCGUUGAUAUCAUCAGGAACUCCGGUGGCGAAGGCGAGAUGCUGGACCUUUUCUGACGCUGAGGCGCGAAAGCCAGGGGAGCGAACGGG
RNAcentral lists this ribosomal RNA (253 nucleotides) under uncultured bacterium. RNAcentral's name for it is "partial 16S ribosomal RNA". It matches the Rfam family "Bacterial small subunit ribosomal RNA", at positions 524 to 776 of the family's 1533-position model. The record is from RNAcentral.